Molecule: non-coding RNA, 112 nt
Filed under: pig gut metagenome
Description: FMN riboswitch (RFN element)
Rfam family: FMN riboswitch aptamer (RFN element)
About the family: The RFN element is a highly conserved domain that is found frequently in the 5'-untranslated regions of prokaryotic mRNAs that encode for flavin mononucleotide (FMN) biosynthesis and transport proteins. This element is a metabolite-dependent riboswitch that directly binds FMN in the absence of proteins. In Bacillus subtilis, the riboswitch most likely controls gene expression by causing premature transcription termination within the 5' untranslated region of the ribDEAHT operon and precluding access to the ribosome-binding site of ypaA mRNA.
Source: RNAcentral
UGUCUUCAGGGCGGGGUGAAAAUCCCCACUGGCGGUACAGUCCGCAACCCGCGAAAGCGGUGGAUUCGGUGAAACUCCGGAACCAACGGUUACAGUCCGGAUGGAAGAAGAC